CGUGUAGGCGGCCAGGUAGGUCCGUUGUGAAAACUCGAGGCUCAACCUCGAGACGUCGAUGGAAACCAUCUGGCUAGAGUCCGGAAGAGGAGAGUGGAAUUCCUGGUGUAGCGGUGAAAUGCGCAGAUAUCAGGAAGAACACCUAUGGCGAAGGCAGCUCUCUGGGACGGUACUGACGCUGAGACGCGAAGCGUGGGAGCGAACA
This 205-nucleotide ribosomal RNA is filed under the name uncultured bacterium. RNAcentral's name for it is "partial 16S ribosomal RNA". It matches the Rfam family "Bacterial small subunit ribosomal RNA", at positions 568 to 774 of the family's 1533-position model. The record is from RNAcentral.